This 1158-nucleotide long non-coding RNA is filed under the name Numida meleagris (helmeted guineafowl). Its description in RNAcentral is "lncRNA (ENSNMEG00000016049.1)". The record is from RNAcentral. Lineage: Eukaryota; Metazoa; Chordata; Aves; Galliformes; Numididae.
CGACAAAUGAACUUGCUCCCGUCCCCUGAGCACAGGUGUGAUGAGCAUUAAGGAACCUCAGGAGCACACGCUCUUGGCAGGGAGGGGGAGAGAAGCUGACCUGGGUGGUAACUGGGCUUCCCAGGGAAGGAGGGCAAGGAGCAAUUAAUGAUAUUUCUGUCUCAUGGUGAAGAAAACAUGGACUAGAAAGCCACCCAGUGGGCAUGGAAUGGAUCAGGACUGGCUGCAGGACCAAGGACCACCACAAGCCGAGGAUCAGCUCCUAUUGGGAGGUAUCAGCGUGGUGACGGCGAUGGCCUUGCUCAGACCCAAUGCACCGAGGAUGACUUCUAACACUGAUUAUGGCCUUUUUGCUGCCAAAUGAACCAGAAAAUCCCUCCCAGGGGCAGAGUUGUGCCACAGCCUCCCUUCUCCAAGGACAUGGGAUGUUAACAGAAACGUGGUGUGACCGGCAGAGCUCAGCACUGAGAUGGAAGGACUUGGUGAUGUCUUCAGAUGCACAAGUGGGGACAGCAGGUGGGAGCUUUCUAAGCCAGACAAAGGAGACCUGACAAGAAACUGUGGUGAAGGGACAAGCCCAAGGCAAAGGAAUGUCUGAUCACCUCCUCCCCUGGAGCAGGCAGCUGAGAUCUGCAUAGACAGGAGACAUUUUGCAAGACUCAACACCUGGAGCAGUGCUAACCAGGCAAGGACGGGGCUCUGUUGUAUCAGGAUGUUGAUCUCUCUCUCUCUUUCUCUCUCUUUCUCUGUUUGUGCAUUUGUGUAGUUUUGUUGCAUUUGGUGAGGCAAAUGAGCAACUGGUAAGUGGGGCAGGAAGGAGCAGCAGCAGCUGUUGAAGAUCAGCGUUGCUUUUUUUCUUUAAAUGUCAAAGAAAGGAGAAGCGCUUUAGAGAGCUUUUGGGGGGCUGGGGUUAUUUGCUGUUUGGCAUAUGGAGCUCUUUAACACAGCUGUGUUCUUGGGAGGGAGAGGUCUCAGCUGUCCAUUUACUCCAGUUUGCUUGGGCUCUCUGUACCCUGCCUGGGUCUGCAGAGGGCUGAGGUGCAUCUGCCUGCUGCAGAGCAUCCAGCCCUGUGGGAGAGGGAGCGAGUUACCGUAGGAUUCACUGUGCAUGGGUGCUUCCUUCCUUAUAAAAAUAAACCCUACAAUGUGUCUGGGUCA